This 63-nucleotide transfer RNA is filed under the name Hesperus amabilis. RNAcentral's name for it is "tRNA-Leu". The record is from RNAcentral. Lineage: Eukaryota; Metazoa; Arthropoda; Insecta; Coleoptera; Staphylinidae.
UCUAAUGUGGCAGAAUAGUGCGAUGGAUUUAAGCCCCAUAUAUAAAGACAUCUUUUUUUAGAA